GUCCAUGCCGUAAACGUUGGGAACUAGGUGUGGGUCUCAUUCCACGAGAUCCGUGCCGCAGCUAACGCAUUAAGUUCCCCGCCUGGGGAGUACGGCCGCAAGGCUAAAACUCAAAGGAAUUGACGGGGGCCCGCACAAGCGGCGGAGCAUGCGGAUUAAUUCGAUGCAACGCGAAGAACCUUACCAAGGCUUGACAUAUACCGGAAACAUUCAGAGAUGGAUGCCCCGCAAGGUCGGUAUACAGGUGGUGCAUGGUUGUCGU
RNAcentral lists this ribosomal RNA (262 nucleotides) under uncultured bacterium. RNAcentral's name for it is "partial 16S ribosomal RNA". It matches the Rfam family "Bacterial small subunit ribosomal RNA", at positions 793 to 1055 of the family's 1533-position model. The record is from RNAcentral.